GGGGGCGUAGCUCAGCGGGAGAGCGCCUGCUUUGCAAGCAGGGGGUCAUCGGUUCGAUCCCGAUCGCCUCCA
This 72-nucleotide transfer RNA is filed under the name Teichococcus deserti. RNAcentral describes it as "Roseomonas deserti tRNA". It matches the Rfam family "tRNA". Rfam says of the family: Transfer RNA (tRNA) molecules are approximately 80 nucleotides in length. Their secondary structure includes four short double-helical elements and three loops (D, anti-codon, and T loops). The record is from Rfam by way of RNAcentral. Lineage: Bacteria; Pseudomonadati; Pseudomonadota; Alphaproteobacteria; Acetobacterales; Roseomonadaceae. RNAcentral also lists the same sequence under 1 other name.